Molecule: ribosomal RNA, 253 nt
Filed under: uncultured bacterium
Lineage: Bacteria
Description: partial 16S ribosomal RNA
Rfam family: Bacterial small subunit ribosomal RNA
Source: RNAcentral
UACGGAGGGUGCAAGCGUUGCUCGGAAUUAUUGGGCGUAAAGGGCAGGUAGGUGGUCUCAUUUGUCCGGGGUGAAAUCCUUGAGCUUAACUCAAGAAGUGCCCCGGAGACGGUGAGACUAGAGUUUUGGAGAGGGUCGUGGAAUUCCCGGUGUAGCGGUGAAAUGCGUAGAGAUCGGGAGGAACACCAGUGGCGAAGGCGACUACCUGGCCUGUUCUUGACGCUGAGGCGCGAAAGCUAGGGGAGCAAACGGG